CUGACUGACCGAUAGUGAACCAGUACCGUGAGGGAAAGGCGAAAAGAACCCCGGCGAGGGGAGUGAAAAAGAACCUGAAACCGUGUACGUACAAGCAGUGGGAGCACAGGUUUACCUGUGUGACUGCGUACCUUUUGUAUAAUGGGUCAGCGACUUAUAUUCUGUAGCAAGGUUAACCGAAUAGGGGAGCCGGAGGGAAACCGAGUCUUAAUUGGGCGUUAAGUUGCAGGGUAUAGACCCGAAACCCGGUGAUCUAGCCAUGGGCAGGUUGAAGGUUGGGUAACACUAACUGGAGGACCGAACCGACUAAUGUUGAAAAAUUAGCGGAUGACCUGUGGCUGGGGGUGAAAGGCCAAUCAAACCGGGAGAUAGCUGGUUCUCCCCGAAAGCUAUUUAGGUAGCGCCUCGUGAAUUCAUCUCCGGGGGUAGAGCACUGUUUCGGCUAGGGGGCCAUCCCGGCUUACCAACCCGAUGCAAACUGCGAAUACCGGAGAAUGUUAUCACGGGAGACACACGGCGGGUGCUAACGUCCGUCGUGAAGAGGGAAACAACCCAGACCGCCAGCUAAGGUCCCAAAGUCAUGGUUAAGUGGGAAACGAUGUGGGAAGGCCCAGACAGCCAGGAUGUUGGCUUAGAAGCAGCCAUCAUUUAAAGAAAGCGUAAUAGCUCACUGGUCGAGUCGGCCUGCGCGGAAGAUGUAACGGGGCUAAACCAUGCACCGAAGCUGCGGCAGCGAACGUAUCACUUAAAGCGAUUCAGCGGGUUACGAUUGACGGAGCGAAGCGACGUCAAAGCGUAUACAAAGUCGAGUCGGUUUAAGGAUACGUUCGUUGGGUAGGGGAGCGUUCUGUAAG
This 854-nucleotide ribosomal RNA is filed under the name Salmonella enterica subsp. enterica serovar Dublin. Its description in RNAcentral is "partial 23S ribosomal RNA". It matches the Rfam family "Bacterial large subunit ribosomal RNA", at positions 476 to 1247 of the family's 2925-position model. The record is from RNAcentral. Lineage: Bacteria; Pseudomonadati; Pseudomonadota; Gammaproteobacteria; Enterobacterales; Enterobacteriaceae.